UACGUAGGUGGCAAGCGUUGUCCGGAUUUACUGGGCGUAAAGAGCGCGCAGGCGGUCGUUCAAGUCGCGUGUGAAAGCCCCCGGCUCAACUGGGGAGGGUCACGCGAUACUGAUCGACUCGAAGGCAGGAGAGGGUAGUGGAAUUCCCGGUGUAGUGGUGAAAUGCGUAGAUAUCGGGAGGAACACCAGUGGCGAAGGCGACUACCUGGACUGUUCUUGACGCUGAGGCGCGAAAGCUAGGGGAGCAAACGGG
This 253-nucleotide ribosomal RNA is filed under the name uncultured bacterium. Its description in RNAcentral is "partial 16S ribosomal RNA". It matches the Rfam family "Bacterial small subunit ribosomal RNA", at positions 524 to 776 of the family's 1533-position model. The record is from RNAcentral.